Molecule: transfer RNA, 63 nt
Filed under: Dipodomys ordii (Ord's kangaroo rat)
Lineage: Eukaryota; Metazoa; Chordata; Mammalia; Rodentia; Heteromyidae
Rfam family: tRNA
About the family: Transfer RNA (tRNA) molecules are approximately 80 nucleotides in length.
Source: Rfam by way of RNAcentral
GGUGGCUCAGUGGUAGAGCACCUGCCUUGCAUGCAUGAGGCCCUGGGUUCGAUUCCAGUACCA